AAAACCCCUAUGAGCAUGGCUGGACUAGGAGAAAAACAGAAUUUUGAGAAGAGGAAAGUGAAAAGUUUCUAUUGGAGCUAUACUUUUGCAUAGCUCAUCUCAAAGCAGAAUCUCCUAAAUAGGUAACAUUCACCAAACUAUUUAAGUGAAAAAUACAAGUCCCUAAAUUUCUGCUUUAUUGAAAAUUUAGGUCUCUGAUCACUGGGUUUAUCACAGGAAAAACACCACCCUGAAAAGACAUUAAGUGUGUAGCAAAGACUCCAACUUGAGCUGCAGUUGUGGUUCAGGAAGAAGUACUAGAGCAAACCAUAAUCUGUUAGUAAGAGAAUUGGUUAUCACAAACACUUGCUUUGGAGACUGGAGGACACAGAGAUGCCUGAGUUUUUCCUGUUCAGUCAUUCUGUUUCACAGUGGUUUCAGAGAGGAAAUAAUUGCUGCAAUGACCUGGCAGUUUCUACUCCAUGCAAGUCUAAGUAAUUCGGAGGGGACGCUGCACAUCAGUCACUGUUUCCUGUCUAAGAUUCAGUGAUAAAGAAGCACCUAUAUAAUCAAGAGAAAAGAAAGUAGAGGCGUGAAUUCAGAAAAUUAUUUAAGCCCAAUCCUCCAUGUGCUGAAUGAAAACCACAGGCCCAAACAAAAUUAUAGGUAUAAUUUUUGCCACUUUUCAUAGGAAAGCAUAAUGUGAGGCAAUGUAUUAAAAUAAACUGUAAAAAGGCCUCAAGCAAUUGAGGUUGGUCAUUAGCUUUUUUUUUAUAGGGAAAUUCUUUCUCUGUUUGGGUUACAGUGUCAAGGUUAUCUUUCGUCUGAGAAUUUUGUAAUUUUGCAUUGAACAAGAGACUGUUACUUAUUUUUAAAACUAGUGUAUGCAAAUUAUGAUUAAAUUCCUGGAUAUUUAAUCUUUUGAAUAUCAUUUAAAAAAUAGAAUGAUGGUACACUGAGAUAAUAAUUAACUCAUUAUGAAUAAUGUAUUUUAUAGCUUGAAACUCUGCAUAAAGCAAAGUUGAUGUUGCCUAAAUUUUCAGGCAGAUUCUAGUUGAGAUAUCAAUAAGUUUGAGUCAUGUGUGUAGUAUUACGUAGUGAGAAAUGUUUAUAAUGUGCAUGCUAAAAAUUCCCAGCUUGAAACCCUAAAAGAAUUAUGAUGUCCAAAUAAUGUUUUUC
Molecule: long non-coding RNA, 1158 nt
Filed under: Papio anubis (olive baboon)
Lineage: Eukaryota; Metazoa; Chordata; Mammalia; Primates; Cercopithecidae
Description: lncRNA (ENSPANG00000044463.1)
Source: RNAcentral